Molecule: ribosomal RNA, 1068 nt
Filed under: Triticum aestivum (bread wheat)
Lineage: Eukaryota; Viridiplantae; Streptophyta; Magnoliopsida; Poales; Poaceae
Description: partial small subunit ribosomal RNA
Source: RNAcentral
AUGCAAACUUUGCUUUGUGCUACAAAAAAGGAACAUGAUAACUACAUUUGCACUUCCUGUCAUGAAGUAGCUCAAAAUCCAGACAAGCGGUACCUACUUAAACUGAAGGUACGCAAUGGCACGGCAACAACAACUUUCGUGGUGUUUAACGAGGUAGCAAAGAGUCUUUUAGGCAACAUAUCUGCGUCGACCCUAUUAGAGCAGGAGGGAUUCAACAACACGGUACCAGAUGUUAUUCAAAAUCUUUAUGGCAGAACACUCCUAUUCCGACUGAAGUUAAAUUCAAGGAAUCUAGAAGAGUGUAUGGAAAAUUAUAAAGUGAGCUACACUUUUGAAGUUGAUGACAAACUUGAGAUGGAAAAUUCAAAUGAAAUGGCUGAAGAGGGCAUACUGGAAAUGCAAGACACACGAGGUUCUUCAAAUUCUGAUAUGCACAAUUUCCAUUACGAGGUGAACCACUCCUCCAAGAAUGCAACAAAUGAUGAGAAGAAGGAUAUGUGCAGAAAGGAAACCUCAAUAUCAUCCAACAAAAAACAACAACGGAGGACAAAGAUACAGAAGUCUAGCAAAAGAUAUGAAAAAGAUGUGAGACCGGUUGCUUCUAGAACAGUUGUUAAAACUGAAGCUCCUGAUGAUGAGGUACAAGAUGAAGAAGAAGAAGGAGAAGAAGAAGAAGAAGAAGAAGAAGAAGAAGAAGAAGAAGAAGAAGAAGAAGAAGAAGAAGAAGAAGAAAAUGAUGUAACCGUAGAUCCAAGAUAUAACAAAGAUUUCAGAAAUGACAACCACAACGAGGGAUAUAAAAAUCCUGUGACCAAGGUACUAGAGGAAGAAAAUGACAUAGAUGAUGAUUCCGACAAUGAAGAAACCAAUAAUGAGGUACAAGAGGAAGGAAAUGACACAGAUGGUGAUCUCACAAUUGAAGAAAGUACAAGAAUGAACAAGGGAGACAACAAUAGUCAUGCCGACAACUGUACCAUCAAAGGUGACAGUGAUGAAGAAUGGAACGCCAAAACUAGAAGCAAAAUUGGAAGGGAUCGAGAAGAGGUGUCUAGAGGGGGGGGUGAUUAG